RNAcentral lists this long non-coding RNA (3885 nucleotides) under Diabrotica virgifera virgifera (western corn rootworm). Its description in RNAcentral is "uncharacterized LOC126880167". The record is from RNAcentral. Lineage: Eukaryota; Metazoa; Arthropoda; Insecta; Coleoptera; Chrysomelidae.
AGAGGUAUAUAUUAACAUAGAGUGAGCCUUCACUCCGCCACCACUGACGACAAGAUCUCUUGGACUGGUUUGCGGUAUCUCUUUCUAGCACAAUGUAUCGAGAAACAUAACAUGAAACUAAGUGGGGGUACGGGACGGCAAGUGAAAUAAGGAGAAUUACCUUCUUCUUUAUUUAUUAUGACAAGUGACAAGACAACAUAACCCAAAUGCAAAUAAUUUAAUCCAGCCCUAUUUCUAUUUUUGAACAAAAUGCUGGAAAUUGGAAAUAUCUUAGUUUAUUUUUAGUUCUAGCUUAUUUACGGCUAGAUUGAAAAUCAGAAUUUUCUAAUAUUGGUUCAUGAUUAUCAUCAGGGACUUGAUUCGGUUCUUAAACAGAAUCAAUGGCUCUCUGAAAAUAUGAUACUCCAUUGGUCACCCCAAGAGGAAUACAACAAAAUUGGUAAAGGCAUCCACUUUCCUCAAAAGCUGUAAAUGGUUUGUCAAAUUCAUGAAUUGGUAUUUGAUGAUACGCGUUUUUUAAAUCAACUACCAUCUGACGUUUAUGAUUUUCGUUUUUGAAAAAAAUGAUGUAUCACAGACUUAAAAUGCGUUUAUCUCAAACACAGUUAAAUUUAGCGAGAUGAAUGUAGUAUACUUUUUUAAAUAAAAAUAUUAACAUAAUAAAAAUUUUGAUUCAAAAAAUUGAACGUAUUAAAUGAGUGCUGAAAGAUGUAUAUAGCUCCGUUUGGAAAAUAUAUCAUUUUUGGUGGCGAAUUUAGCUUUCUCGUCCCAAAAAACCCCCGCUUACCAAAUUUAGUGUUAUUAUCCCAUGCCUGUUAGGAAAUAUUCAAGAAUAAAUAAAAUAAAAGUUUAACUUUGACACCCUGUAUCUCGGUUAUUAUCAACUUUCGUACUAAGGUAAGUUAGCUUAAAUCAAACUAUUUUAACCCCAGGAAUCUAAGGUUAAGCUAUCGCCCAUUCUUUACCAAACACCCUGUAUAUCGUACUAGUGACGUCAUCCAUUUGGAUGUGAUGAUGUAAUCUACUAUUUUUUUAAAUGGGAAUAGGGGUCGAGUGCUAGCUCAUUUAAAAGGUUAUUCAAUUCCAUAUUCAGUAAUAUAAACAUUAACAUGAUUAAUUAUACAGAGUGUCCAAAGAAUUUUUUUAAAUUAAAUUAAUUGACACAAAAAGAAGAAUGAGCUAGCACACGAUCGCUAUUCUCAUUUAAAAAAAUAGUCGAUUACGUCAUCACGCCCAGAUGGAUGACAUCACUAGUAUGUUGUAUACAGUAGAACCCCGAAAAUCCGAACCAAUUGGGGGGACAGCCUGUUCGGAUUCUGAAAAGUUCGGAUUAUCUGAAAGUCAGCCUAACUAGUAAUUCAAAGCUCUCCUGCAAAACGUGUAACCUGACUAUGAGAAAACCGAAGUAAAUUUAUGUUUAACCUUUAUAAGAGAUGUUCAGCAGACAUCAAGAAAUCAUUACUUUUCUAUUCACCCAUUAUUACCCAAAUGUAUACCUCAUUUUAACUACAAUUAUAACAAAGUACAUUCCUCAUUAAUAACCCGGCUAAAACUUACCCAUGGACUUUUUCCAGAGCAUCUACAUAGGAUUGGAAUCUAUGAAACUCCCUUCUGUUCCUGUAACCAUGAGUCCAUCGGGGAUCUGAACAUGUAUUCUUUGAUUGUCUUAAUCAUAGGGAUCAGACUCAAAACUUAUAUUUAGGUUUAAUUAACCUUAACAUUAGCCUUCCAAUUAGCAUCAGCAAUGUUUUAUCUUAUUCUGACAAAUCUAUAUUUAAUAUCUUAAUCAAGUUUAUAAAUGAUUCUAAGAUAAAAAUUUAAACAUAUCUAUAACAAAAUUCUGUGGCAAAAAGACUCUUUGUCUAAUGCCAUCUCUUUGGCGCGCGCGCGCUCCCACACACACACACACACACACACACACACACACACACACACACAAACACAAACACAAACACAAACACACACACACACACACACACACACACACAAACACACACACACACACACACACACACACACACACACACACACACAAACACAAACACAAACACACACACAAACACACACACACACACACACACACACACAACCUUUAUAAUCAUUACAUAUAAAGUACCUACGUAUUUAUUUUUAAGAAAUUUUAAAUGUCAAAGUCCUACUAAUCCAAUAUUGUUCAAUUUUCUGGUUAUACUCUAUAUAAUAAACAUGUAUUUAAGUUUUUGUCUUAAAUUUUAAAAAAAAAUUUCACUUUCCGUUAGUUUGGAUUUGCGGGGUUCUACUGUAUGUCAAAAAUAUAUAUGGGGGGGGGGGGUCAAAAUAUAGUGAAUAACCCUGUACAUCAAGAAAUUUACUACCAACGUCUCUGCUACUGAAUAUAUCACUAAGUACAGGGCAACCUAUUUAAAACUUAAAGAAUCAGCUAAAAAAUUAUACUAUCAAAAUCAUCUGAGAAGCUUUAAAAGUGUUGCAAAAGAAAUUUGGUCCAUAAUAAACAAUCUUUGAAAUCAAACUCACACAGCUCAAACAUUUUCCCUUCCAGACCAUGAAUACUUUAUUAAUGUGAGUAAAAUUAUAACAUCAACUAUUUUGUCACAAGAGAUCAAUUUUGUUAAGAUCCGAUUUCCUAUCUCCCUAAUUCAAGAAAGGUCUCAAAUUCAUUAUUUAUAAGACUAGUUGAUUAAUCUGAACUGAUCCAAACAAUCAAUAGUAUCAAAAGCAAAUCUUCCUGUAGUACUGAUGGACUAUCCAUAAAAAUUGUCAUAAAAAUCUCCCAGAAAAUGUGUUGGGAGUCCUCAUCCCACUAACGACUCUUUUAAGGGGCUAUCCUAGUGUAAAAGAACGAAAUUCACAUACUUUUUUUGGGAAUAUCUAAAAUAAAAAGUACUGUACCAAUUGUUUUGAAAAUUUGCAUGACCAUUUAUUAUAAAAAGAAGUACAAGUAAAACAAUUUUCAUAAAAAAAAAUAAUGAAAAUUUAACGAUUUAUGCCCUAUCUACUGGCACAGUGAAAAUAAAAAACAUGGCUCCACUGCUGCAGUGAUUGGGACUAAUAGAGAUCCUGAAUUAUAAAAUUGCAAAGUGAUUAUUGAAAUAUAAGUUAUUUCCUAUGUCCUAUACCAUCAAUUAGGAUUUUUGGAAAAAUGACAGUGUUGAAAUUUUUUUUAAAUUAGCUAGAACAUUUUCAGUUUCAAAAACCGCCAAAUUGACAUUUUUUAUCCGAUUAAAAAAUCCCUAUUUGAUGGUAUAGAAAAUAACCUAUAUUUCAAUAAUAACUUUGAUAUUUUAUGUUUCAGGAUCUCUUUUAGUCCCAAUCACUGCAGCAGUGGAGCUAUGUUUUUAUUUUCACUGUGCCAGUAGAUGGCGAAUAAAUCGUUUAAUUUUCAAUAUUUUUUUAUGAAAAUUGUUUCACAUGUACUUCUUUUUAUAACAAAUGUUCAUGCAAAUUUUCAAAAUAAUUGGUACAGUAUUUUUUAUUUUAGAAAUUCCCAAAAAAGUAUAUGAAUUUCAUACUUUUACACUAGGAUAGCCCCUUAAGAAAGGUAAAUUUCUAGAGCUGCCUAAAGACAGCCAUCAUUAUUCCUCUUCAUAAGGGUGGUGAAAAAUCUAAUGCCUGCAAUUAUAGACCUAUUGCAUUACCACUGGUACUCUCAAAUAGGACUCAUAAUACACAAGUAUAAAAACUUGUUGCUGGUAUGAGCACAUUGUGUAAAUGUUAGGAUUUAAAGAGGAUAUAAAAACCUUCAAUACGAUUAUGAGUGUUAGUCUCUUUAUAUCCUAACAUUUUUUUGUUAUUGUUUUAGUUUAUUAUUGUUUUUUAUGACUCUUUGUAAGUUUUGUGUAUAAAUUGUACAAUUUUCCAUGACAAUAAAGCAUUUUUCUAUUUUAA